Molecule: ribosomal RNA, 253 nt
Filed under: uncultured bacterium
Lineage: Bacteria
Description: partial 16S ribosomal RNA
Rfam family: Bacterial small subunit ribosomal RNA
Source: RNAcentral
UACGUAGGGGGCUAGCGUUGUCCGGAAUUAUUGGGCGUAAAGAGCGUGUAGGCGGCCCGAUUAGUCCGCUGUGAAAGUCCAGGGCUCAACCCUGGAAUGCCGGUGGAUACUGUCGGGCUAGAGUCCGGAAGGGGCGAGUGGAAUUCCUGGUGUAGCGGUGAAAUGCGCAGAUAUCAGGAGGAACACCAAUGGCGAAGGCAGCUCGCUGGGACGUGACUGACGCUGAGACGCGAAAGCGUGGGGAGCAAACAGG